GAAGAUCUCAUCUGGUUCUAUCAGUUUAUCGAAGGAAAUCUCUUGUUCUUCAGUUAAUUUUGGUAGUUUGAUAUUAUUUAGAAAGUUAUUGAUGUCUUCUGUGUCCAGAACGAUUGUAAUAGAGUGAAUUGUAAUAGACUGAUAUAUAAUAUGGUAUUGCUGGUGAGAAAGAAUUCAAUCCGAGUGUGUGUGUGUGUGUGUGUGUGUGUGUGUGUGUGUGUGUGUGUGUGUGCGUGUGUGUGUGUGUGUGUGUAUGUGUGGUGAGCUGAGGAGUAAUAUGUGUGUUCCUUGGUGUUUGGGUGUUGUAGUCGCAAACAAUCGCCAAGUCCAGAGACAGACAUGUAUUGCCUUAUUGUUUGUGUGCUCUGCCAGUUCUGUGUAGUGUGUACUAACAGUUCUGUGUUUUAUGUGUACUAGUGGUUUUAUAUAAUUCUGGGUUGAUGACUGGGUUAAAGUCGCCAUCGAUUAUGAUGGGGAAUCCGGGACGUUUGUGAGAUGUGUGAAGAGGGCAGAAGAUCAAGGGGUUGUCUGUAUUUGGUCCAUAUAUGUUUGCUAUUGUUAUCAGGCUGUUGUUGAUAGAGAUGUUUAUGAUGUAUCUGCCUUCAGGGUCGGUGAUAGUGGCACUGCGUGUGAAUGAGAGUUUUUUUGUUUGUUAAAAUUGCUACACCUCUUUGUUUGGUAAAGCAGUGAGCAGCGAAAAUGUGGUUGAAUUGUGGGGUGUGUAAUUUGUAACUUGUGUUUCUUCGAGUAAGCAUAUAUCUGCGUUUAGUGUGGUCAGAUGCUGUAGUACUUUUUUAUUUCUGCCUGUCAGGAAUUUGAUCAAUGACAUGUUUUGGGAGAUCUCUUGUUGGGUUUAUCAGUGGUGUACUAUUGAUGCAUGGUCUAUGUGAGUAUUGCUGUGUGCGAUAGGUUACUUGUUGGUGUUAUUUUAUUGGGUUGUUUUGUAUGUGAGCAUGGUGGUGUAUAUCUGAAACACACUGGUCAAAUAAACAAAGAACCACAGUUCGCAACAGAGGAUAAAAGGUCAUGGCAUUGCUGAGGAGUGAGACGUCAGUGGAAUGAACUAAUGUAACACAGUCAAGCUUAUACCUGAGGUUUUUUUGUUCUGUGUUGUUUCAGGGACUGUGGGUGUUGUGUGUGUGUGUGUGUGUGUGUGUGUGUGUGUGUGUGUGUGUGUGUGUGUGUGUGUGCGUGUUUUGAGGUAGGGAUAACGGGGCAGAAGGGUUGCAGUGGACAGCAGAUCAGAGACCAUGACUGGCUAAAUAAUGACACAGCGACCCUGUGCUCCUGGGGUAGGUUUCCCCAUAACGAUGAAUCAUGUCAGAAGACGGCAACAGCGAUGUAAUAUUGUACAACCACAAUUCCAAAAAAGGACGCUGGGUAAAAAUGUCAAUAAAAACAAUGCAAUGAUUUGCAAAUCUCACAAACCCAUAUUUUAUUCACAAAUAGAAAACAUUUCAAAUGUUUAAACUGAGGAAAUGUACUGUUUUAAGAAAAAAAUAAGGUAAUUUUGAAUUUGAUGGCCACAAGACAUCUCAAAAAAGUUGGGACAGGGCAACAAAAGGCUGGAAAAGUAAGUGUUAUUAAAAAGAAACAGCUGGAGGUUAAUUGGGAACAGGACAGUAACAUGAUCGGGUGUUAAAAGAUUAUAUUAGAGAGGCGGAGUCUCUCAGAGGUAAAGAUGGGCAGAGGUUUAUAAAAUAGUUAACGAAUAUACAAAAUAAGUUUAGGAGCAGUGGUAGUUCUGUGUUGAAGACAUUGGAAGGUGAUGAGUUCAAAUACCAGCACUGCAAGCCUUACACUGCUGGGCCCUGGCAAGGCCCUCAAUUAUUCAGUUGUAUAAAAUGAAAUAAAUGUAAGUCACUCUGGAAAAGGGUCUCAAAUGCCAUAAAAGUAAAUGUAGACAACCAUUAAUCUAUUGGCUUUUUUAUUUUGUUUGGGUCCAGACUGGACAUCCUUGGUCCAGAAGUGACAUCCUUGGUCCAUAACUUUGUUCAUCUGAGUUUUAUAUUCGUUUACUGGAUGAACGUUUGUCUGUCAUGCUUCCUCCACACCCUCUGAGUAAGCAAUUUACUUAUCCUUACUGAGCUGGGGAAAUGAACAAGAUAAAAAAUAUCCUUCCUCUUUUGUGCUGCUCUCUAACUGUGCCUGUUCAAGACUGUUACCUGGGCCUCUCACCUACAGCAUCAUGGUCUU
Ictalurus punctatus (channel catfish) is the source of this 2196-nucleotide long non-coding RNA. RefSeq lists it as uncharacterized. The record is from RefSeq and is a predicted model, not a curated record. Lineage: Eukaryota; Metazoa; Chordata; Actinopteri; Siluriformes; Ictaluridae. The transcript has 3 exons.